This is a long non-coding RNA of Hemicordylus capensis (graceful crag lizard), 5693 nucleotides long. RefSeq lists it as uncharacterized. Lineage: Eukaryota; Metazoa; Chordata; Lepidosauria; Squamata; Cordylidae. The transcript has 5 exons. The record is from RefSeq and is a predicted model, not a curated record.
CCCAACAUGGCCUCCGGGUUGAAGGCUGAAAACCGGCCAAAGAGUGCCCGAACAAGGUGAGGGGGUGAACAAAGAGUUCCUGAAAGGGGUGAGGGGGUGAUUUAGAACGCCGGCAAGGGGGAGGAGGAACCUCCGCGGAACACCCCCCGCCUCCACUGCCUCCGGGAACUCCCCCGUGUGGAGUAGAAGGUUGGUAAAAAGGAUGGAAAGUCUAAUCUUCACACAUAACAUAUGGAAUGUUUAUGACUGACAAGAAACUCUGAGAAUGUAGCUCUCCUUCCAGCUGCUUGGCAACUAGGAACAGAUUUCCCAAAAUGAGCUGCUAAUAGUAUUAAGAUAAUUACCUCUUUUUCUUCUUCUUCUUUUUGGCUAUAUGUUCAUUCACAAAUUCCCUGUAAUAUCAUUGAUUGCAAAGUGAUAGCCUUGAUGUACCCUGCAAUACAUGUCCGGUACUUAAUAUAUUAUCUCAUAUAUCAUUAAGAUGUUGCAUUAAUGUUCACCUAAGAAAUGCUGCCAAAAAUCUUGCAUUUUUUUCCCUUGAAGGCUAAAACCCCUGCUAACUUGGCAAAGAGGCACCUUUUAACAUGGCGAUUCUCUUUAUUUAGCAGGGGGAGAGCAACUGGCCCUAUCCACCCUCAGCACAGUACUCCAGUGACUGUUGCUGGUGUCUGUCUUAUGUUUCUUUUUAGAUUGUGAGCCCUUUGGGGACAGGGAUCCAUCUUAUGUAUUUAUUAUUUCUCUGUGUAAACUGCCCUGAGCCAUUUUUGGAAGGGCAGUAUAGAAAUCGAAUGAAUGAAUGAAUGAAUUAAAAAAUGCUUCUUGGAUAUUGGGAUUUCCCCCGCCCCACCCAAAGAUUUUAUUAGACUUGGACGGGACAGGACGCAUCCUAUUAAGAGUUCAGGUAUAACUGAAUUGGUUUGCACUAAAUGAAAUGAACUGAAUUAUAUGAUCAAUUCAGGUGUAACAUACCUGAUCCUCCAAACCAUGGCUUUUGCCAAUGACUUCCUCCACCUCCUGCUUCCUUCACUUGUGUGCUCAGAUUCAAUUAGUUACUUUGUAUUUAGUGCAAAACAAUGGUUUAUUGAUACUUCUAAACCAGGAGCCUCUGCUUUUUGCUUGCUCUCCAAACUGAAAUUUCAAACCAGGAUUAAACUGUGGCUUACAAUUCGGGUUUGGAGAUCAAUUUGCCAGUUCAGAUAUGGUGGCAAACAAGAAGUAACAGACUCUGCAUACACAAGAGGGCACAUGCACAUGUAAUGCCAACGCAUAGCAUGGUGUUAUAUCAGAACCAAACCACAGCCUGUUAAAUUACUUCAAUCCUGCUAAAAUCAUUUGAUGGAUCUGGACUGGAAUAGUUAUUCAUUCUAGGGUUGCCACCUCUUUUCUGCCAGGGCUGUUGUGCUUUUAAUAGCCUUUUGAUGAGUAAACAUUCAACAGGUGACAUAAGACGUUACUGUAUCUUAUGCCAGAAAGAAUUGUGGCUGUUGAAAGUCUGCUUGUUUAGAAGCUGUUAGGAAGUUAUGCUGCACCAGUAUAUCCACAGGGGAUGAUAGUGGGUUGACAGGCUCUCAGAUGUGCCAUGAUUCAUUCCCCACCCCACCCCCCAUUUACUGUAGGGAAUGCCUUUACUUGUAAAGGGUAAUCCUCGCCGGAUUCCCCUUUACAAGUAUAUCCCCCGAGCCAGCCCAAGCUGCUUCUCUGAACUGGGGGUCGAUGUGGUUCGAACUCAGACUGGCACCUCCCCCCCUUUGCGGGCUCCAGUUCAAACUCAGAGCGCCUGAACUGGGCCAGCUCGAUGUUGAGCCCAGCUCACACAUCCCUAGAAGAGUGUGCACUUCUCUCCCACCCCCCAUCUUUGUGCAAGCCCCUACUUCCGUUGUACGUUCUGAUAUGCUGAGCAUGAUCGUGUCAUCUGAACCCACCAGUCUCGGCAUAUUCUGCCCUACUUCCCUCAGGGAGCCCAACAUCUGCCAAAAGGGCCAAGAUCCAUUCUUGGUCUAUAGAUGAACACAAGACUGAACAGGUUCCUUGCUGUAAAUAUCUGGGGGUAGUCCUUCACUCCACCGGCACUAGAAAGGUACAUGGUGAUUACAUUGCUCUAAAUGCAAAGAGGAGUACUUCUGCCAUUUUCAGGUUCCUUUGGACAAGGGGGGACCAUUAUAUACCUGUAGCCCUCAAAGCCAAGCUGCUAGUGCAGCUUCUCUAUGGCGUCCAGCUGGAUCCCUUCUCCAGUUUCACCCCAUUGGAACUCGUGCAAUCAAAGUUCUUAAGAGCAGCCCUCCAAGUUCAAAGAUCUGUCUCUAAAGCCACCCUGCAACUGGAGACAGGUUUGAUGAAAGUGGAGGCUAGGGUCUGGAUUACCAUACUUCAUUAUUGGCUUAGACUAUCUCUCUGUCCCCUUAGUCUUACCCCCCUAACCUUGAGCAAAGACUUCCAAUCCAGCUGGAAAUGGUAAAUCAUGACAAAAAUAUCAUCUCUGGGCCUAUCCCACUUUUUAAACAUGGGCUAAUCAGGUCAAGGCUCUCAUCAAACAGCACAUCAAACAGACAUAGAAUAUCAAUCUGAUAUAGGCAGGGCCCCGAACUUCCUCAUCAGCGAAGGACUCAGGUAUUCUGCCUCCCCCAUGGCAUACCUAACAGAACUGGAUGUCCCAAAGCCCAGGAGGGCCUUCAUGCUGGUGUGAUGCCAUGUUCUCCCCUCAGCCAUGCUUGAGGGGAUAUAGGAAGAUUCCACUGUUGGAACAUCAAUGCCCUUGUGACUCUGGGCACACAGAAACAACAGAGAAUGUCCUUCAGUGCUCGUAUUACAGGGAUCCAUCUUAUUUAUUUACUAUUUCUCAGUGUAAACCGCCCUGAGUCUUUUUUGGAAGGGCGGUAUAGAAAUGGAAUAAAUAAAGAAUAAUAAUAAUAUUCGCUCCACCUUCAUUCUACUGUUAUUACAUAAGUAUCCAGACUAUAUGGGCCAAUUUUACACCUCUCUACUGCUUUCUGAUAACACCCCCGCCACCACUUACAGCGUUGCCAGGUUCUGCGUGGCAGUGAUUAAAGUCCGGUGGAUGAUGACCUCUAGCUCAUGCCCAGCACCCAACUUUAUGGACUAGCCUCAGUGCACCCUCGGCCUGCUGCCACACAGCGCUUCAUGGCAGCCCUGCACUCUUACAAUUUUACAGUUCUACAGCUUCUCGGUUCCUUAGUUUGUCUUAAAUUGACAAAACUCUUAUUAUGCCUAUAGUUGCCCCUGUAUGAUUUUAUAUGUCUUGUUACAUCUUUUUAAUGCCUUUUAUAUAACAUUUUAAUGCAUUUUCCCUUCAUGUCUUAUGCCUUUAUGUCUUUUAUGCUUUUUAUAAACCCUUUAUAAACAUCUGUAAACACUUUUUACCAUUAUUAGCUACUAUUAACUGCAGCCUUCAGAUCUCGGCCAUUAGGGGCCACCUGGUUUGAGGUCUUGCUUUUGUUUUGGACAGUCAUAGUCUUAAAUUUUACUUUUACUUCUGAUUUCUAUAGUCUUUUAUAGUGUUUAUAAAUCCAUAGCAACAGUUUUAUCUUUCCUUGCCAUAUGCUUAUACUGGGUCACUCACCUCUCAGUGUAGGAUGUCACUUAUUGUGUUUUUUAUUGUUCUUAUGCUGGUCUAAGACUAAAAUAAAGGUGAUUGAUUGAGGAUGUCAGGAUCCCUCAGGGAAAUAGGGCAGGAUAUGCCAAAAUUGGUGGGUUCAGACAACAUGAACAAUUUGGGCAUAUUGGAACCUAAAACAGAAGUUUGUGCAGGGAUGGAGGGAAGUGUGCACUCCUGAGGCAGCAGCUACUUCAGGUACCACCGUUAUGUCUAAACCCACCCACUGAAAUAUUGAAAGAGAAUGUCAAGGUUCCCCCGCAAGGAGAAACAUCAGAGAAUUUUCUCAGUUGGUUUCUUCAUAUCCUUAUAAAUAAUCUAUGAGGGAGGUGAGGAUGAGAGCGAAUGACUGGUGCAAGGUCACUGAGACAAUCCUGGCUCUCAUAAAUGCUCUUGCCAUUUGCUUGUCAUCUCACUAGCAAUAGCAAUAAUACAGUCACAUUUUGAAGCCAAUUUAUUAGUCAUAAGACCUAUAUGUUGCAUGGCCACAGUCUUUCUGCCAUUUUAAACAUUUCCAGGAUUUGAAUUACACCCUUCAGCUAAAUUGGAUGUAACAAAAUAGGCUGUGAUUUUAAAUGGCAGCGGAAAACGGUCAACAUAAAACAGUUUGGAAUGCAAUCAGUGGCUUCAAGGUAUUUAAGUAGAGCUACUAUGUGGAAUUAACUAGACUCUGCACUUUUUUCUCAUUAGUAACAUGAUCUGCUUUCCUCUACAUUCAGAAAAUUGAUGGGAAAUAAUGGAACAGUUUUCCCACAGGCCUUCUCAGCACAAAUGCAGGAUGACAUCACCACCUUUGUCCUCUACACAAUACCAUCCUGUCUCAUCAGCACAAUUUUUUAUUACUACAAAGGCUGUGAAAGAGUGUUCUAAGAUUUGCCAGUCUCGGGACCGCUCCAUGAUGACAAGACAAGUGACAGAAAAAUGGCACCAGACCAACAAAAUCCCGAUAUUAUUCUAAAUGGUCCUAUUCUGAAACGUGAAGAUAGGAAUGUUACUGGAUGUACAAAAAAUAGGGAUAUGGAUGGAACCGACUAGCCCGGUUCGGUUCAAGUCCGGUCCGGACUCAAACCAGACGUCGAACCUGUUUGCACAUCCCUACUGUCUCCCUUGUGUUUGUGAAUUCCUCGGGGCAGGGAGUAACCUGCCCUCUCAUUCUUUGUAAAGCACCACAUACCAGAAUGGCAUAAUCAUAACAACAAAUUAGGCAUCAAAGAUUUUAAUGGAAGGUUCCGAAUUCAAGCAUCUAUUUACUGGAAUCUAACUCACAAGCCUCCUUCCUUGCUUGCUAUAGCAGCUAUGUGAUUCCCAAUAAAAUGAUCCCAUUGAGAUGGCUGCUCAGUUUACCUGUAGAGUAUCACUGCUUUUUAAAGUAGUGGAUUAAAUCUCAUAUUCAGGAUCUUUUUCUGUGCAGGAAACUUAACACCUGUCGAUGGAGGCAAAUUAUAAAGUGAUAAUUAUCAUGUCAAUUGAUUUUACGAAUGGCUCCUACGCAGAACUGACCAGUUAUCGCUACAUGAGAGAGUGCAGUGCGGUGGAGUGAUUAGACUGAAGAGACUUGGAUUUAAACCAUCAUGUUCUUGGGCAAGAAACCAUGGCAAUCUUCAGAUAUUUUAAAAAGGGGAGGGUACACCACAAGUUCAGCAUCCCGAGAGUGCACCCAGACACCCCACCCACUGUCCAUGCUUAAAGUGUUUGAAGAUACAAAUAUGGUAACCUUGGGCUGAUUUUUUCUGGGUGACUCACCCAGCCUUCUGAUCACCGAAAACAUCUAUUCAUGGUUACAACAGUUAUCUCUGCAGACAAACAUUGUAAGCACAAGCAGCACAGCUUCUGAGCAUGCCAGUUUGGAGCAAGGCUUGAACAUACAUUGCUUCACUUAAAAAAAAAAAUCUGAAAAGGCCUCAUCUCUCAGCCUAACCUACUUCACAGAGCUGUUGUGAGAAUAAAAUGAAGAGAGCACUUCAUGCUGCCCUGAUGUCCUCAGAGAAUGAAGAGGCGAAAAGUGUAAAAAAUUACAUGGAUAACUAUGUAAAAGACUAUAAAAAACAAUUAGGGAUAUACCUAGAGCAGGCAUCCCCAAACU